AGGUGGAAGCGUAGCGAUACGUGGAGCUGACGAAUACUAAUCGAUCGAAGACUUAAUCAAUUU
This 63-nucleotide ribosomal RNA is filed under the name Staphylococcus agnetis. RNAcentral describes it as "partial 23S ribosomal RNA". Lineage: Bacteria; Bacillati; Bacillota; Bacilli; Caryophanales; Staphylococcaceae. The record is from RNAcentral.